AUUUAUGAAGUUUAUUAUAAAAUAUUGAUUUGUGGAGUCAAAGAUGCAAUUAUAAAUUGCCAUGAAUA
RNAcentral lists this transfer RNA (68 nucleotides) under Orussus occidentalis. RNAcentral's name for it is "tRNA-His". The record is from RNAcentral. Lineage: Eukaryota; Metazoa; Arthropoda; Insecta; Hymenoptera; Orussidae.